AGAGCGUAGCUAAAAUAGAAUAGCAUCUCC
Molecule: transfer RNA, 30 nt
Filed under: Tridentiger trigonocephalus
Lineage: Eukaryota; Metazoa; Chordata; Actinopteri; Gobiiformes; Gobiidae
Description: partial tRNA, val
Source: RNAcentral